CAGCAGCCGCGGGAAUACGUAGGGUGCAAGCGUUAAUCGGAAUUACUGGGCGUAAAGCGUGCGCAGGCGGUUUGUUAAGACAGAUGUGAAAUCCCCGGGCUCAACCUGGGAACUGCAUUUGAAACUGGCAAGCUAGAGUCUUGUAGAGGGGGGUAGAAUUCCAGGUGUAGCGGUGAAAUGCGUAGAGAUCUGGAGGAAUACCGGUGGCGAAGGCGGCCCCCUGGACAAAGACUGACGCUCAGGUGCGAAAGCGUGGGGAGCAAACAGGAUUAGAUACCCCAGUAGUCCCUGUCUCUUAUAC
RNAcentral lists this ribosomal RNA (301 nucleotides) under uncultured bacterium. Its description in RNAcentral is "partial 16S ribosomal RNA". It matches the Rfam family "Bacterial small subunit ribosomal RNA", at positions 509 to 807 of the family's 1533-position model. The record is from RNAcentral.